Molecule: ribosomal RNA, 625 nt
Filed under: Delftia tsuruhatensis
Lineage: Bacteria; Pseudomonadati; Pseudomonadota; Betaproteobacteria; Burkholderiales; Comamonadaceae
Description: bacterial SSU rRNA
Rfam family: Bacterial small subunit ribosomal RNA
Source: RNAcentral
UGCAAGUCGAACGGUAACAGGUCUUCGGACGCUGACGAGUGGCGAACGGGUGAGUAAUACAUCGGAACGUGCCCAGUCGUGGGGGAUAACUACUCGAAAGAGUAGCUAAUACCGCAUACGAUCUGAGGAUGAAAGCGGGGGACCUUCGGGCCUCGCGCGAUUGGAGCGGCCGAUGGCAGAUUAGGUAGUUGGUGGGAUAAAAGCUUACCAAGCCGACGAUCUGUAGCUGGUCUGAGAGGACGACCAGCCACACUGGGACUGAGACACGGCCCAGACUCCUACGGGAGGCAGCAGUGGGGAAUUUUGGACAAUGGGCGAAAGCCUGAUCCAGCAAUGCCGCGUGCAGGAUGAAGGCCUUCGGGUUGUAAACUGCUUUUGUACGGAACGAAAAAGCUCCUUCUAAUACAGGGGGCCCAUGACGGUACCGUAAGAAUAAGCACCGGCUAACUACGUGCCAGCAGCCGCGGUAAUACGUAGGGUGCGAGCGUUAAUCGGAAUUACUGGGCGUAAAGCGUGCGCAGGCGGUUAUGUAAGACAGAUGUGAAAUCCCCGGGCUCAACCUGGGAACUGCAUUUGUGACUGCAUGGUUAGAGUACGGUAAAGGGGGAUGGAAUUCCGCGUGUAA